This 1229-nucleotide long non-coding RNA is filed under the name Sus scrofa (pig). Its description in RNAcentral is "lncRNA (ENSSSCG00060071213.1)". The record is from RNAcentral. Lineage: Eukaryota; Metazoa; Chordata; Mammalia; Artiodactyla; Suidae.
UUUUUUUGGUGUCCUCUCCAUUAAUCGGGCUGAGUUUCAAGCAUCUCCGCUCUGUGCAGUGGUCUCAGCGCUAACUCUUUGCCCCAAACCUCAACUCCUGUCCUCCUGAUGCUCUUGCUGUCGGGUAAAUUUCUAGGUCAGCUAACUCCCCACUUCCACCCCGGGCACGCAGCUGUGAAUCACACUGCAGUGCUCUGGCUUUUGGUCCCUCUUUCUUCCUAGCAUCUGACGGUCUCUGGUUCUUGUGUGCUCAUGUAAGUAUGCGUUUUAAAUAAACUUUGUCAUAUUUUAUCUAACACUUUCAGCAAUAGCUGGAGGCACUUCACAUACGCUGACUCUGCCAAUACUGGAAACCCAGGCUCCAGGGGUUAUUAAAACCAAAAUAACUAGCUCUCCUGGAUGUUAGCUCAUGGUCAAAGUCGGAUGCAGUGGCUAUCAGGCAGAAAAGGUCUUGCUUUUCAUGUGUGAUGACUAGUUAUAGUUUACGGAUGGGCUUCGAUUCUUUACUUAGUGGAUUCCUCAAAACGUGGUUCUGAUACUGAAAUCGUUGCAUGUCAUUCUCUUUCCACUUUUUUCGCUCCCCAGGGAUGGCAGGAAACCUGAGGGGAAUGAAUUCUACGGCAUUUAGAGAGAUGUUUGGCAUAUUCAGACAUGGUUGUUUUAAUCCAAAGUUUAAGAAAGAUGGGGACUGGGAGGGAGACUAUACAAAGAAGACAGGAAGUCAGACUGUCACUGGUGUGGCACGGGUUCGACUCCUGGCCAGGGAAGCUUCACAUGCUGCAGGCGCGGCCACAAGGAAAAAAGGAAGAGAAAGGAGGACGUCGGAACCUCUACUGGACUGUACAGGCAAGGAGACUGGCCUGCCUUGGAGGGUCCGUCCCUGGACCGUCUGGACACAGGCCCGCGUUUGCGAGAUGAAGCCCUCGUGGUUCCCAGACCCGAGUCCACACCCCGCUCUUCCUGUAACCCGUCCAUUAAAUGGAGUUCCGGCCCUUGGACUGUGGAUCCCAAGCUUUUCGCCAUUUUUCCACUGGGGGCGCCUCUGUCCAGUGCAGUCCUUACACUGGCUCAACAGCAGUUGCUCGACAUAUAAAUGGGCGUUAGGCCAGCGGUUUUUUGUUGGCAUGUCUGUAUGCAUGUCCCUCUGUAUGUAUAUGCAUGUGCAUUUUGGCCCCACCGUCAGCGUGCAGAAGUUCCCCGGGCCAGAGAUGGAACCCGUGCCACAGUAG